CAAGAAGCUCUCAAAAUGAUCAACUAUGGAGAAAUAAUUACCCAAAAUUACGGAUGAAGUGACUUAAAACAUUCUACCCAGCACUGACCGAUCCUUCACCGCGAUCACAACACAAGCCUCAUGAUCGCAUAGCACAAACUACCAUGCCCUCAAAUUUAUUCUACACGAACGCAACAUAAUCAAUGCGAACACGAUACACUGCAUAAUCACGUUAUGCGAUCGCAGACAAUAUUCCGCGUUUCUGAUGAAAAAAUCCAACCAAGACUUCAAGUACAUUUUUACUCUAUGCGAACGUAACAUGCCCUUACGAAUUCGCGAUCAACAAAUUUUACCCUACUAUGAUAUCGCGUCCCUACCUAUGCUAACGUUAAGCAUAAUUGAACUGCUUCCUCCAAAGUCUCUAUGCGAUCACGAGAGAACCAAUGCGAUCUCGAUGAACUAAAUGCCUGAAUUGAAACCUGCAAUUUCUGAAGUCUUCAAAGCAUGAAAUUGAUCCGUUUAGCCUCCCGAAACACGCCUGAGUCCCUCGGGACCUCAACCCAACCAACCAACAUAACCCAUAACAUCAUUAAAACUUGUUCCAAUAUCAAAAUACCUCAAAAACAUCAGAUUACUCAAAACUAAUUGAAUUCAAGCCUAAUUAUUCUAAAAGCUUCCGAAAUACACUUUGAUCAAAAACCCGAAUGACCUAAAAUUUUUCACACAUAUUCCAAAUGACAUAACGAAGCUACUGUAACUCUCGAAAUUCCAUUCCAACCUCUAUAUCAAAAUCUCACCUAUCAAUAGGAAAACACGAAGAUUUUAUUUUCGCCAAUUCAAGCCUAAACUUUCCACGGACUUCCAAAAUGCAUUCCAAUCACGCUCCCAAGUCCCAAAUCACUUAACGGAUCUAACUAAAGCAUAAAAAUUUGGAUCAGGAGCUCAUAUACAAAUAAGCCAACCAUUGGUCAAAACUUUUUAAUUCAAAGCUUUCAACUGAGAUUGUUCCUUCAAAUUCAUUCUGAUUUUCCUAAAAACCAAAACCAACGAUCUGCAUCAGUCAUAAUAAUUACACGGGGAAAGCCAUGCCCGAAAACUGACGAUCAAAGUACAAAAUCUCAAAACGACUGAUCGGUUCAUUAUACUAUUCAAAGAAAAUUCCUUCUAGGAUGUGUACUCCCCAUUGUUAUCCAACUGAGGCUCUUAAUUUACAAUGAGAAAGACAUCCACAUGUCCUUGUAAAUCAUAUGGCUAUGCACAACUACCAAAUGAAUAAAUAACAUACUGUAAUUAGAUGUCACUGCAAAAAUAAUUUUUAACCUGCAUCGACAUUUAAAGAACAAAUUAUAUUGCAAUGGGUGAUGUGUCAACUCUACAUUGAUUUAAGGAUAAUAAACUUCCUUAAGCUUAUGACAUAGAUAACUCAGUUAUGACAAUAGAAGGAUGGAAUAAGACUUGUAAGCAAACUCAAAAAAACUAGAACAUACGAUAUCACAGGAACAACAAUUCAAAUUUCAUUUAUACGUUUCCAAGAGAUACCAUGGGUGAGAUUUCAACAUACCUAAAGCAGAAAUCAAAGAAAUGUGACAAUUAGAGGCUAGAAAACUAGUGAAGGAAGCUCAACAAACUCAAAAAGAAAGCAGCAAGUAAAAAGAGAAACAUCAAUAAACUCCCAGAAUGAGCCUCAACCUCAGUUUGUUGAUGAAGAAAAAAACAAACUUAUGAAGCUUGUAUGAGUGAACAUCUGUGAAAAUGCAGGGUUCAUAUGUGUUUUUUUAAAUCCAAAGAUUGAUGUAUUUUAUAGAAGAAAAAAAUGCAGAUCCUUUUUAGCCCCUGAAAUGAGUGUGUGAGUGAGUCUUAUAUAGAGGGUGAGUGUGUUAAGGGAUAUGGAAUAAUCUGGGAAGGUACAACCUCUAAAAAUAAGGAAAAGA
RNAcentral lists this long non-coding RNA (1910 nucleotides) under Nicotiana benthamiana. Its description in RNAcentral is "long non-coding RNA (NBEN_LNC004028)". The record is from RNAcentral. Lineage: Eukaryota; Viridiplantae; Streptophyta; Magnoliopsida; Solanales; Solanaceae.